Molecule: small RNA, 918 nt
Filed under: Drosophila pseudoobscura pseudoobscura
Lineage: Eukaryota; Metazoa; Arthropoda; Insecta; Diptera; Drosophilidae
Description: GA30609
Source: RNAcentral
CGACUACAGGGCAAAUCGACCUGCUCUGAGCAUAAUUCAGUUUUAUGUUUACAAGAAGACGCUCCAUGGAUGGCGCUACCUAUUAUUUAAUAUACCUUGACCUUGGAGCCAAGCUGUGUUUCUGUACUCCCUAUACUCCGGAGAAGAAUGAACUGUCAUAAGAGCGUUCUCUGGAAAUGCACCAAUGAAGUGAGAGUAUUUUGUGGUUCGUACAAAGAGCACAAGCUUAAAGCUUAUCAGAAAAUCAGCUAACAGAGGACAAUAGUGUGUGGAGUACACUGUUUAUGGUUUGAUUUAAGUACUAACGUAACGUGUCGUAGCGGGGCCGAUUAAAACGAUUCUACGAUUUCAAAGCAUACAGAUGUUUCGGGCUUUAUACGUGACAAGCCUUUACUGCUUUACUCUCCUUCACUCUCCUGCUCAACGUCUCUCCAGGCCAUUCAUACCAUUCAUUCUCCAUACCAUUCGGUACUCGAAGUGUAUAUAAACGUAAAGCAGUCGACCACAACGUUCCCACUGGUUUUAGUCUCUGUUCUGCAUAUCUUCUUCUGAUUCUCCUACGAAGGCACUAGUUUAACAGCAGGAUAUUCGCCGAGUUGCGUUCCUAAAUCUGUGCCAUUGGUACAGUAUACAGUUUUAGUUUAUUUUUUAUACGUUACAUUUUGAAUUAGGUGUUUGCUUGGUUGAUUGAAUUGGUUGGCUGCUGAUCCGAUCUGGUGCGGCUAUACAUACGUCCGUACAUAGCUCUCCAUGGAUCCUACUAGCAUAUACGGGCAUCAUUGCGAUAGAACGAACACACACACACUGUCUGGUGGCUCAGACACACAUACUAUCGUCGUGUACAUGGGGGAUCGGAUCUCUUCUAUUGCUUAACAUUACGAGUACAAAAAUACAUUGACUUUGUGAUUACAACAACAU